RNAcentral lists this small RNA (276 nucleotides) under Pan paniscus (pygmy chimpanzee). RNAcentral describes it as "Metazoan signal recognition particle RNA (ENSPPAG00000009284.1)". Lineage: Eukaryota; Metazoa; Chordata; Mammalia; Primates; Hominidae. The record is from RNAcentral.
GCCAGGCACAGUGGCAUGCACCUGUAGUACCUGCUACUUGGGAGGCUAAGGCAGGAGGACUGCUUGAUCCCAGGAGUUCAAGGCUGCAGUGAGCUGUGAUCGCACCACUGUACUCCUGCCUGGGUGACAGAGAGAGGUCCUGUCUCUAAAAAUAAAUAAUUUUUUUCUUUUGUUUUGAGAUGGAGUCUUACUCUGUCACCCAGGCAGGAGUACAGUUGUGCGAUCAUAGCUCACUGCAGCCUUGAACUCCUGGGAUCAAGCAAUCCUCCUGCCUUA